Picea glauca (white spruce) is the source of this 45-nucleotide non-coding RNA. The record is from Rfam. Lineage: Eukaryota; Viridiplantae; Streptophyta; Pinopsida; Pinales; Pinaceae.
GUAAUGGUGUCUUUAGACACCACCUUUAUCUUCAAAAUGUUAUUC